RNAcentral lists this long non-coding RNA (367 nucleotides) under Brassica napus (rape). Its description in RNAcentral is "long non-coding RNA (BNAP_LNC003472)". Lineage: Eukaryota; Viridiplantae; Streptophyta; Magnoliopsida; Brassicales; Brassicaceae. The record is from RNAcentral.
UUAUUGAUCCGUAAGAAACAAUCAACACACAAUUCCCUUUAUAUUAUUAUCUAUAUUGUGCUAACAUCAAUAAUCAAAAAUAUUUCUUACCCAAAAUCUGUGAUCGUCUAUUUAUCUCCCUUACUUAUCAAACUAAUUUUACACAAACUUUUAUUUUACAGCUUAGAAGAAAACACAACAACCCAAACAAUCAAAACACCAAAAACUAGAAUUCCAAAAAAAGACGAAUCAUUAAUGAUCACCUCUCUUUUUUUGUCUAAGCUUAGAAAUAAACUUCAAAACAAAUAUACCAAACCAAUCACCUCAACUAAAACUCAACGACACAUACAUCAAGUCAGCUAAACAAAUACAAAUUACAUGGCCAACU